AAAAUUUGGUGCACACUGAAUAACGCACGUAGCGGGUUAUUUAACAGUGUGCACCACAUUUUUUAUGUUAUUUCGAAUAGACAGAAAAAAUAUAACAGUCAUUUCUUAUAAUUUAAUUCUAAUUUCCAUUUCAAAUCGUAGAAAACCAUGAAAAAACGUUGAUGACGUCACGGUCACAUGACUAAAUUAUGUCUAUGGGCUCAUAACAAAAUAACGUCAGCCAAUCAGAAGAC
Molecule: long non-coding RNA, 233 nt
Filed under: Mytilus galloprovincialis (Mediterranean mussel)
Lineage: Eukaryota; Metazoa; Mollusca; Bivalvia; Mytilida; Mytilidae
Source: RNAcentral